RNAcentral lists this transfer RNA (76 nucleotides) under Streptomyces phage Yaboi. RNAcentral describes it as "tRNA-Lys". It matches the Rfam family "tRNA". From Rfam's summary of the family: Transfer RNA (tRNA) molecules are approximately 80 nucleotides in length. Their secondary structure includes four short double-helical elements and three loops (D, anti-codon, and T loops). RNAcentral also lists the same sequence under 6 other names. The record is from RNAcentral. Lineage: Duplodnaviria; Heunggongvirae; Uroviricota; Caudoviricetes; Stanwilliamsviridae.
GCCCCGGUAGUUCAGUUGGUUUAGAACAGCGGACUCUUAAUCCGUAUGUCGUGAGUUCAAGUCUCACUCGGGGUAC